AUUGAACGCUGGCGGCAGGCCUAACACAUGCAAGUCGAGCGGAUGAAGGGAGCUUGCUCCUGUAUUCAGCGGCGGACGGGUGAGUAAUUCCUAGGAAUCUGCCUGGUAGUUGGGGAUAACGUCCGGAAACGGGCGCUAAUACCGCAUACGUCCUUAUGGAGAAAGUGGUGGAUCUUCGGACCUCACGCUAUCAGAUGAGCCUAGGUCGGAUUAGCUAGUUGGUGGGGUAAAGGCCUACCAAGGCGACGAUCCGUAACUGGUCUGAGAGGAUGAUCAGUCACACUGGAACUGAGACACGGUCCAGACUCCUACGGGAGGCAGCAGUGGGGAAUAUUGGACAAUGGGCGAAAGCCUGAUCCAGCCAUGCCGCGUGUGUGAAGAAGGUCUUCGGAUUGUAAAGCACUUUAAGUUGGGAGGAAGGGAAGUAAGUUAAUACCUUGCUGUUUUGACGUUACCAACAGAAUAAGCACCGGCUAACUUCGUG
Molecule: ribosomal RNA, 484 nt
Filed under: uncultured bacterium
Lineage: Bacteria
Description: partial 16S ribosomal RNA
Rfam family: Bacterial small subunit ribosomal RNA
Source: RNAcentral